This 72-nucleotide transfer RNA is filed under the name Candidatus Pacearchaeota archaeon. Its description in RNAcentral is "tRNA-Arg". It matches the Rfam family "tRNA". From Rfam's summary of the family: Transfer RNA (tRNA) molecules are approximately 80 nucleotides in length. Their secondary structure includes four short double-helical elements and three loops (D, anti-codon, and T loops). Further hydrogen bonds mediate the characteristic L-shaped molecular structure. tRNAs have two regions of fundamental functional importance: the anti-codon, which is responsible for specific mRNA codon recognition, and the 3' end, to which the tRNAs corresponding amino acid is attached (by aminoacyl-tRNA synthetases). tRNAs cope with the degeneracy of the genetic code in two manners: having more than one tRNA (with a specific anti-codon) for a particular amino acid; and 'wobble' base-pairing, i.e. permitting non-standard base-pairing at the 3rd anti-codon position. Lineage: Archaea; Nanobdellati. The record is from RNAcentral.
AGGCCUAUAAGUUAAUGGAUAGACUCCUCGGCUUCGGACCGAGAAAUCAGGGUUCGAUUCCCUGUAGGCCUG